CCUGUCCUGAGCCCUCAGCCACUGUUCCUCCCCGAGGUGAAUGAUGAAGGAAGUUACCCUGGUCCUCUUGCAUUCAUCUGCAGAGACUGGCCAUGCUCCAGAUGGGGAUUCUCCGGGCAGCCUGGGUCCCAGAGUGAAGCUGUACAGAGCUGAGCCCCCAGCUGACCUGCAAUGAACACCCAGUGUGAAACAUCACAGCGCCUGCCUUUGUUGCCAUCACCUUAAUUAAGACUCAAGCUCUUCCCUGGGCUCUCUCGGUUUAGGAUCUCCCCUCUCUGGCUCCAGUGUCUUCAGCAGUAACUCAUCAACACAGUACAGUCACAUCACAGGCCCAUCACCUGAGAAGCACCACCACGUCUACUCCAGGAAUGAAGAUCUUUCAGCUGCUGAGCGGUGUGGAUGGAUAAAGAGCCUGGCUGACUGGUUUCAGAGACAAUCCAGAUUUGGCAAGAACCUCUGCUUCACAGUUUCAUCUUAAGGAGAGGUCUUCUCUGCUAAAGUCGAAUGGAAAAUGAAAUUACCUGCUAA
Molecule: long non-coding RNA, 528 nt
Organism: Mesoplodon densirostris (Blainville's beaked whale)
Lineage: Eukaryota; Metazoa; Chordata; Mammalia; Artiodactyla; Ziphiidae
Exons: 4
Source: RefSeq, a predicted model, not a curated record